Molecule: ribosomal RNA, 492 nt
Filed under: uncultured bacterium
Lineage: Bacteria
Description: partial 16S ribosomal RNA
Rfam family: Bacterial small subunit ribosomal RNA
Source: RNAcentral
AGUGAACGCUGGCGGUAGGCCUAACACAUGCAAGUCGAACGGCAGCACAGUAAGAGCUUGCUCUUACGGGUGGCGAGUGGCGGACGGGUGAGGAAUACAUCGGAAUCUACUUUUUCGUGGGGGAUAACGUAGGGAAACUUACGCUAAUACCGCAUACGACCUACGGGUGAAAGCAGGGGAUCUUCGGACCUUGCGCGAUUGAAUGAGCCGAUGUCGGAUUAGCCAGUUGGCGGGGUAAAGGCCCACCAAGGCGACGAUCCGUAGCUGGUCUGAGAGGAUGAUCAGCCACACUGGAACUGAGACACGGUCCAGACUCCUACGGGAGGCAGCAGUGGGGAAUAUUGGACAAUGGGAGCAAGCCUGAUCCAGCCAUACCGCGUGGGUGAAGAAGGCCUUCGGGUUGUAAAGCCCUUUUGUUGGGAAAGAAAAGCAGCAGGUUAAUACCCCGCUGUUCUGACGGUACCCAAAGAAUAAGCACCGGCUAACUUCGUG